UACAUGUGGGGCAAGCGUUGUUCGGAAUCACUGGGCUUACAGAGUUCGUAGGCGGUUCUACAAGUGGGGUGUGAAAGCCCUCGGCUCAACCGAGGAACUGCGCUCCAAACUGUAGAACUAGAGGAAGAUAGAGGUGAGCGGAACUGAUGGUGGAGCGGUGAAAUGCGUUGAUAUCAUCAGGAACACCGGAGGCGAAGGCGGCUCACUGGGUCUUUUCUGACGCUGAGGAACGAAAGCUAGGGGAGCCAACGGG
Molecule: ribosomal RNA, 253 nt
Filed under: uncultured prokaryote
Description: partial 16S ribosomal RNA
Rfam family: Bacterial small subunit ribosomal RNA
Source: RNAcentral